CAACCAUAUUACGCUUGCAUUCGUCAUUUUCCUAUCUUCAGUGCGCGUUCAAAACAGUAAUUAGCAUCUAUUAUUUGCGCUUUUUGUAAUAACCACAGGACAUUUAUUACUAAGUCGUUGCAGUUUCCCAACAAUUACCUCGGAAUGUAGAUAAGGCCUUAUCUUGGAUGGGGUAAACAGAGAGGCUUGGAAUUCAUAUAAAUCGGAGUAAGGACAAACCAAUAAGGUUAAUGUAUCCUCGCGAGGUUAUGACGUAUAUUGCCGGGUUGGACUGGUUAAGUAAGUAGUAAUAUGACUGUGUAAACGCAAGGAGAAAAGCUGCGUCACUCUUGUAUGAUAUUAUAAUGCGGGUUUGUCCUGUACUCUACGCGAUGUGAGUCAGACUUCCGAAUACUAAUUUUUAGCUUGAUGUUUGUAAUAAAAGCAAGUCGCCGGUCCAUUUUCCUUCGCCGAAUUCGUGACGAACGCAACGACGCAGGUUUUCAAAUGCGCAGUUCUCUUAAAUUCUUUGGAAGAACACCGUGUAAAUAAAACAAGUUAUGAAUUCAAAUAAACUUUAAUAAUCUCUUUUCAACGUCUACAGUUCGAAAAUUUUGAUCAACACUAAAAGUCCAAGAUACGUGCAAUAACAGAGUGGAGUUCUCAAAGAAAUCCUAAAUAACUUCAAAUACUGCCAUAUUGCUCUUUUUUAUCACUAUUAUCAAUAAAAUAAUCGAUUUGGUUGGUACUAAUACCUAACUACCUAAAUAAUUUGACAGAAUUCUUCAAAUGUAAACGACUCUAUCGCUCGAUAAAGUUAUACGAGAUUGAAGAAUUUACUUUAAAGUUUUUAGUAUAUAGGUGUAGACACUAGACAGGAUGAUUAUGUUAGACGUUAUUUUUUUUAUUGAAUGUGAGGAUUAUAAAAUUGUGUAAAUUAUUAUCAGUGGACACGGUCGGAGUGAUGUACCUAGUCCAAUGUGAGGUCGGGUGCUAUCGUAAGUUCAAUGUCUCAAAUUAGUUUAUGGGAUACAGAGGCCUACCAGCAGACAGCCUUGACUCCUGGACCUACACAAUACACUAUUUACUUAUAAAAUUAAAUUCAGUAGAUAACAAUACAAU
RNAcentral lists this long non-coding RNA (1101 nucleotides) under Pectinophora gossypiella (pink bollworm). Its description in RNAcentral is "uncharacterized LOC126370171". Lineage: Eukaryota; Metazoa; Arthropoda; Insecta; Lepidoptera; Gelechiidae. The record is from RNAcentral.